CUUCUCGCCUGAACUGCUUACUAUCUCACUGUGGCUUCGAGCGGGUGGGCCUGAUGAGAAUAAACCAACACGCCGGAUCGCAGGGCCAUCUGCGAGCUGCUUGAGUAUAACAUCAGCGCCCAGGAAUCCACCUUCUGCUCGUCUUCGCUUACCGAUUGCCCAUGAAAGGCCUGCCUCCACGGGUGUGACAUGCUGUUCCAUGUCAUUACCGUACAAGCAUAGGCCAGCUUCGAGGCGGAGGCUGUCACGUGCACCUAAACCAGUCAGCCUCACCUUGCCUUCGGACUUCUCAAGGAUUGCUUUUGCGAGGUCUACAGCGUCCUCUGAGGGAACCGAGAUUUCAAAUCCAUCUUCUCCGGUGUAGCCAGUUCUUGUCAGGAAACAAGGGGAGCCAUUAAUGUCCAAAGUUUUGAACUCUCCGAAGUACAUUUUGCUUAGAUCAUCUUUUGUCAGCUGUUGAAGAACCGGACCAGAAAGUGGACCCUGUAACGCAAGCAGCGACCGCUCAUCAUGAAUAUGCCAGCUAACAUCGCCCCCCUUCUUCUUGAACGCCUCCAUGUGCUCCCCAAUAUGUGCCAGAUCUUUGUCCCGACACCCAGCAUUCACAACAAGAUAUAUAUGCCCUUCCCCCACCUUUGUGAUAACCGAAUCAUCAAUCGCCCCGCCUCGCUCAUUCGUGAACACCGUCAGCGUCCCCGUCCCGGGGCUGAGGCCGGCGACAUCGGCAACGACGAG
Molecule: unclassified non-coding RNA, 735 nt
Filed under: Hevea brasiliensis (rubber tree)
Lineage: Eukaryota; Viridiplantae; Streptophyta; Magnoliopsida; Malpighiales; Euphorbiaceae
Source: RNAcentral